This 450-nucleotide ribosomal RNA is filed under the name uncultured bacterium. RNAcentral describes it as "SSU rRNA". It matches the Rfam family "Bacterial small subunit ribosomal RNA", at positions 26 to 518 of the family's 1533-position model. The record is from RNAcentral.
AGGAUGAACGCUGGCGGUAUGCUUUACACAUGCAAGUCGUACGGGGAGUUUUUAACUCAAGUGGCGGACGGGUGAGUAACACGUAAGAAUUUACCUUUAGGAGGGGGAUAACAACUGGAAACGGUUGCUAAUACCCCAUAUGCUUUCGAGUGAAAUGGAUUUUCCGCCUAAAGAGAAGCUUGCGGCUGAUUAGCUUGUUGGUAAGGUAAUGGCUUACCAAGGCGACGAUCAGUAUCUGGUUUGAGAGGAUGAUCAGACACACUGGAACUGAGACACGGUCCAGACUCCUACGGGAGGCAGCAGUGGGGAAUUUUCCGCAAUGGCGAAAGCCUGACGGAGCAAUACCGCGUGAGGGAUGACGGCCUAUGGGUUGUAAACCACUGUCGCGAGGGACGAAGAUCUGACGGUACCUCGAAAGGAAGCACCGGCUAACUCUGUGCCAGCAGCCGC